RNAcentral lists this long non-coding RNA (1664 nucleotides) under Theobroma cacao (cacao). Its description in RNAcentral is "long non-coding RNA (TCAC_LNC003216)". The record is from RNAcentral. Lineage: Eukaryota; Viridiplantae; Streptophyta; Magnoliopsida; Malvales; Malvaceae.
AACUAUGCAUUCAUAAUGACAUCAUCAACCAAAAUACACAUAUAUAGUUUGACAAAUGAAUCUCAGCAUUUCACAAGUAUUCAUAUACACGUAAUUAGAACUUGACUGUCAGCGGAGUGACUCUGGGCAUGGUUGCUAACAUUUAAUGUCAUGGUAAACCUAUCAAGCAAUGGAUAGGGAGGAACACCUUGUCCUAGGAUCCAAUCACCUUUGACUCAGGAAACCUAAAACAUGAAGUUGAAAAAAAAAUGUGAGUAUAAACUCAGUGAGUGAACAUAGGAAGGGAACAAGCAAACGUUAAGAAAGGUUUAGAAAUCAUGAUGCACUUAAGUUCCAAAAACAAUGCAAUUUAGCUUAUUUCUUAUCAAAAAAGCCCUUAUUCAAAUCCUUGUUGUUUAGUCACUUGAUGAUGAAAGACCCAUGAACAAUAAAGAAGUUGAAAAGUGAAAACUUUAGUAGAAUUUAAGCAAGUCAAGCAUAAUAGAUUGACUCUCACCUUAGCGAAAAGGCAUUCUCACUGCAUCGAAAUUCUGGCCAAAUAAAAUCUAAAGGGUUUUCACUGCCGCAAAAGAAAAUCCACUCAUGCCACAUUGUACAUUAAAUUGAACACAUUGACAAUCCUCAAGUUUCAAUAGUCAAUGUAAUCACUUAUUAAUUCCAAACAUCUCUAUAGUAAAUAUACAUAUAUAUAUAUAAGCACAUACACCACCAUCCCCUCACCCAACUCAUGUGCACUCCCACAUCACACAUAGCCAGAGUCAUCGUGUGCAUCCCCUCACAUUGUGCACAGCUAAUACCAUCGUGUGCAUCCCCCCACAUCGUGCACAAGCAAUAUAAUCAUUCUGUGCAUCCCCCCACAUCGUGCACAAAUAAUGACAUCAUCGUGUGCAUCCCCCCACAUCAUGCACAAGCAAUAUCAUCAUCCACACUUCCACACCCCGUCAUCAUCAGCAUGUGCAUCCCCCCACAUCGUGCACACAUAUGGUUAUAUUUAUUACACAAUAUUAACUAUCAAUACGCAACAUAUAUAUUUACAUCAACAUCAUAUAAGGCACAAGGAUUCAUCAUAUUGCACACUCAUAACAUAAAACGUUUUAAUAAAGGCUUGUUCCCAUGCAUAAACUUUAAGGAAAAAUCAAAUAAAAAUCAUUCACACUCUUUAUCCAAAUAUCAAUACAUUUCCCAAAUUAUUUUCAAUGCAAGUUCACUCACCUUACGAUAGUGGGAUAUUACAUCGCUAUUUGUUCGGAGGUGUAUCUAGCUAUUCCUACUUGCCGAUCGCUUGUUAUUUCCCCCAGUGCACCACCACAGUACUCUAACUUUACCCUUGUAUUUCCACUUGGUUUUGGCUUGGAUUUCACCCAACAAAAUUCAUAAUUCCCUUACACCCAUGGCCACCAUAGCUUAGCUUGCUUGAAUUACAAAAUCAAGCUUGUUUUUCCUUUCUCUCUUUUUCUUUCUUCUUCUCCUAAGGUUUAGAUGUGUUGGAAAUUAGGGUUAGAAGUUGUAACUUUGGUGCACAAGAAGUUGGGAGAAGGAAGAAGCAAGAAAAGAAAGGAAAUGAAAAGCAAACAAGGAAAGAAAAUGAAAGAAAACUAACUUUCCAUGGGGAGAAUGAGAAGAUGGCGUUGGAAGCUUCAAGAAUGAAGAAGAAAUAUCUUGUU